CCUACGGUGCGCGGCAGUGAGGAAUAUUGGUCAAUGGGCGCGAGCCUGAACCAGCCAAGUCGCGUGAGGGAUGAAGGUUCUAUGGAUCGUAAACCUCUUUUAUAAGGGAAUAAAGUGUGGGACGUGUCCUAUUUUGUAUGUACCUUAUGAAUAAGGAUCGGCUAACUCCGUGCCAGCAGCCGCGGUAAUACGGAGGAUCCGAGCGUUAUCCGGAUUUAUUGGGUUUAAAGGGUGCGUAGGCGGCCUUUUAAGUCAGCGGUGAAAGUCUGUGGCUCAACCUCGCUCCGCCGUUGAAACUGGCGUUCUUGAGUGGGCGAGAAGUAUGCGGAAUGCGUGGUGUAGCGGUGAAAUGCAUAGAUAUCACGCAGAACUCCGAUUGCGAAGGCAGCAUACCGGCGCCCAACUGACGCUGAAGCACGAAAGCGUGGGUAUCGAACAGGAUUAGAUACCCCAGUAGUC
Molecule: ribosomal RNA, 459 nt
Filed under: uncultured bacterium
Lineage: Bacteria
Description: partial 16S ribosomal RNA
Rfam family: Bacterial small subunit ribosomal RNA
Source: RNAcentral